GGGGACCGCCGGACAGUUCGUGAGGUGUUGGCCCUCUCAAAAGCCAAUAACCCCAAGCUAGUUUUCCUUUGCGAGACUAGACAGGAGUCCUCGAGGAUUGAGAAGUUACGUUGGAGGCUAGGCCUCAAGGGUUUUCAUGGUGUCAGUAGUGAUGGAAGGAGUGGUGGCUUAGCUCUCUUU
RNAcentral lists this ribosomal RNA (180 nucleotides) under Triticum aestivum (bread wheat). RNAcentral describes it as "partial small subunit ribosomal RNA". Lineage: Eukaryota; Viridiplantae; Streptophyta; Magnoliopsida; Poales; Poaceae. The record is from RNAcentral.